UUACUGUAAGAAUAAGCACCGGCUAAUUCCGUGCCAGCAGCCGCGGUAAUACGGAAGGUGCAAGCGUUAUCCGGUUUUAUUGGGUUUAAAGGGUGCGUAGGCGGCUUAUUAAGUCAGUUGUGAAAUCCUAGUGCUUAACGCUAGAACUGCAAUUGAUACUAUUAGGCUUGAGUUAAGAAUAGGUAAGUAGAAUUUAUGGUGUAGUAGUGAAAUGCUUAGAUAUCAUAAGGAAUACCAAUAGCGUAGGCAGCUUACUGGUCUUUAACUGACGCUGAGGCACGAAAGCGUGGGGAGCAAACAGGAUUAGAUACCCUGGUAGUCCACGCCGUAAACGAUGAUCACUCGGUAUACAUAAAUUUAUGUGUGUCUAAGCGAAAGCGUUAAGUGAUCCAC
RNAcentral lists this ribosomal RNA (393 nucleotides) under Cardinium endosymbiont of Dicranosepsis sp. RNAcentral's name for it is "bacterial SSU rRNA". It matches the Rfam family "Bacterial small subunit ribosomal RNA", at positions 475 to 872 of the family's 1533-position model. The record is from RNAcentral. Lineage: Bacteria; Pseudomonadati; Bacteroidota; Cytophagia; Cytophagales; Amoebophilaceae. RNAcentral also lists the same sequence under 1 other name.